UACGGAGGGUGCGAGCGUUGUCCGGAAUCAUUGGGCGUAAAGGGCGCGUAGGUGGCCCGGUCAGUUCGUGGUGAAAGCGCGGGGCUCAACCCUGCGUCGGCCAUGAAUACUGCCGCGGCUGGAGCACUGUAGAGGCAGGCGGAAUUCCGGGUGUAGCGGUGGAAUGCGUAGAGAUCCGGAGGAACACCGGUGGCGAAGGCGGCCUGCUGGGCAGUUGCUGACACUGAGGCGCGACAGCGUGGGGAGCAAACAGG
Molecule: ribosomal RNA, 254 nt
Filed under: uncultured bacterium
Lineage: Bacteria
Description: partial 16S ribosomal RNA
Rfam family: Bacterial small subunit ribosomal RNA
Source: RNAcentral